This 429-nucleotide ribosomal RNA is filed under the name Bacillota bacterium. RNAcentral's name for it is "Firmicutes bacterium partial 16S ribosomal RNA". It matches the Rfam family "Bacterial small subunit ribosomal RNA", at positions 355 to 776 of the family's 1533-position model. Lineage: Bacteria; Bacillati; Bacillota. The record is from RNAcentral.
UAGGGAAUCUUCGGCAAUGGACGGAAGUCUGAACGAGCAACGCCGCGUGAGUGAAGAAGGUUCUCGGAGCGUAAAGCUCCGUUGGUAGAGAAGAACGUUGGUAGGAGUGGAAAAUCUACCAAGUGACGGUAACUAACCAGAAAGGGACGGCUAACUACGUGCCAGCAGCCGCGGUAAUACGUAGGUUGCGAGCGUUGUACGGAUUUAUUGGGCGUAAAGCGAGCGCAGGCGGUUCUGUAAGUCUGAAGUUAAAGGCAGUGGCUUAACCAUUGUACGCUUUGGAAACUGGAGGACUUGAGUGCAGAAGGGGAGAGUGGAAUUCCAUGUGUAGCGGUGAAAUGCGUAGAUAUAUGGAGGAACACCGGUGGCAAAAGCGGCUCUCUGGUCUGUAACUGACGCUGAGGCUCGAAAGCGUGGGGAGCAAACAGG